UAACUUCGGGAGAAGGCACGCUGGUGUGUAGGUGAAGUCCCUGCGGAUGGAGCUGAGACCAGUCGAAGAUACCAGCUGGCUGCAACUGUUUAUUAAAAACACAGCACUGUGCAAACACGAAAGUGGACGUAUACGGUGUGACGCCUGCCCGGUGCCGGAAGGUUAAUUGAUGGGGUUAUCCGUAAGGAGAAGCUCUUGAUCGAAGCCCCGGUAAACGGCGGCCGUAACUAUAACGGUCCUAAGGUAGCGAAAUUCCUUGUCGGGUAAGUUCCGACCUGCACGAAUGGCGUAAUGAUGGCCAGGCUGUCUCCACCCGAGACUCAGUGAAAUUGAACUCGCUGUGAAGAUGCAGUGUACCCGCGGCAAGACGGAAAGACCCCGUGAACCUUUACUAUAGCUUGACACUGAACAUUGAGCCUUGAUGUGUAGGAUAGGUGGGAGGCUUUGAAGCGUGGACGCCAGUCUGCGUGGAGCCAACCUUGAAAUACCACCCUUUAAUGUUUGAUGUUCUAACGUUGGCCCCUGACCGGGGUUGCGGACAGUGUCUGGUGGGUAGUUUGACUGGGGCGGUCUCCUCCCAAAGCGUAACGGAGGAGCACGAAGGUUAGCUAAUCCUGGUCGGACAUCAGGAGGUUAGUGCAAUGGCAUAAGCUAGCUUGACUGCGAGCGUGACGGCGCGAGCAGGUGCGAAAGCAGGUCAUAGUGAUCCGGUGGUUCUGAAUGGAAGGGCCAUCGCUCAACGGAUAAAAGGUACUCCGGGGAUAACAGGCUGAUACCGCCCAAGAGUUCAUAUCGACGGCGGUGUUUGGCACCUCGAUGUCGGCUCAUCACAUCCUGGGGCUGAAGUAGGUCCCAAGGGUAUGGCUGUUCGCCAUUUAAAGUGGUACGCGAGCUGGGUUUAGAACGUCGUGAGACAGUUCGGUCCCUAUCUGCCGUGGGCGCUGGAGAAUUGAGGGGGGCUGCUCCUAGUACGAGAGGACCGGAGUGGACGCAUCACUGGUGUUCGGGUUGUCAUGCCAAUGGCACUGCCCGGUAGCUAAAUGCGGAAGAGAUAAGUGCUGAAAGCAUCUAAGCACGAAACUUGCCCCGAGAUGAGUUCUCCCUGAGACUUUAAGUCUCCUGAAGGAACGUUAAAGACGAUGACGUUGAUAGGCCGGGUGUGUAAGCGCAGCGAUGCGUUGAGCUAACCGGUACUAAUGAACCGUGAGGCUUAACCUU
This 1218-nucleotide ribosomal RNA is filed under the name Klebsiella pneumoniae MGH 74. Its description in RNAcentral is "bacterial LSU rRNA". It matches the Rfam family "Bacterial large subunit ribosomal RNA", at positions 1731 to 2925 of the family's 2925-position model. Lineage: Bacteria; Pseudomonadati; Pseudomonadota; Gammaproteobacteria; Enterobacterales; Enterobacteriaceae. The record is from RNAcentral.